Long non-coding RNA from Lagenorhynchus albirostris (white-beaked dolphin), 981 nucleotides. RefSeq lists it as uncharacterized. The record is from RefSeq and is a predicted model, not a curated record. The transcript is spliced from 3 exons. Lineage: Eukaryota; Metazoa; Chordata; Mammalia; Artiodactyla; Delphinidae.
AGGGAGGGGGAGGAGUCCCUGACCCCAAGGGAAAGUGCGUCUAGGGAUGCCUGGACCUCAGCCAACGCAGCCAAAGGGGCCGCUCUGGCCACCGGCCUCUCGCCCCACCCAGAAGGGAGGGGCCUGCCCACACCCCACCCUGGACAGGCUGUCUUGCCGUCCAGUCGACACAGCACAGUUCCCAGGACGGGGCGGGGCUGCAUCUCAGGGGCGGAACCUGCCGGGCCCCAUUUUCAGAAAUCAGCGGAGCAGAAAGAGAAGAGGGCGCGUUUCCUGCUUCUCCUCUGGGCGCAGUCCUCGCAGCGACGCCGGCCCAGGCCCUGUGGGGCGGGACUUGCAGCUGGCGGUCAGCCAGGGGGUGGGGGCGGGGCUGAGGGCUUGUCCCUCCAGGCAGACCCGCUGCAGCCCGGGUGGGCUCCCCGCAAGGGGUGUUCCACCCGCCUAACCCCGUUCCUCCCCUCUCUCCAACCAAAGCUUCAGGGAAGUUCCUUUUACACCAUCCUGCCCCUCUGAGGCCUAGGUAGGCACAGGACGGCUCUGAGUGGUUUCCAGGUGUUUUCACCUGAGCACACCUGUCCGCCAGUGUGUCCUGGAGGCUAAACACCUUCAUCCGAGGCUCACCCCGAAGGCGACACCCUGGGUCCUGGUGAGAACCCCCCGUGGAGCUCAGGCCCCCACGGCCGCUGAUUAACCCGACGGCUGCUCCUUUCUGACUAUGCUGCACGGCGCCCGCAGUGCACUUUCUGCAGGACGGUCCAGCGUGUGAGGCUUUCAGUUAUAGAACAGGGUAAUCUGGAAGCUGUCUUUUCUGUCAAAACAAGGAUUAUACAACCUCGCAGUGAUGAUUCCUUAGUUUCAGAGUUUCUUUUUUUUAACUCAGUGCUGCUUUUCUGUGUCUAACCACAUCUGGACUGCCAGGCCCUCACCACUGCAUAUGGAAAGCACGCCUUUUGAAAAGUUUCUGACGGUUUUGAUUACACA